GACAAACGCUGGCGGCGUGCUUAACACAUGCAAGUCGAACGGAAAGGCCCUGCUUUUGUGGGGUGCUCGAGUGGCGAACGGGUGAGUAACACGUGAGUAACCUGCCCUUGACUUUGGGAUAACUUCAGGAAACUGGGGCUAAUACCGGAUAGGAGCUCCUGCUGCAUGGUGGGGGUUGGAAAGUUUCGGCGGUUGGGGAUGGACUCGCGGCUUAUCAGCUUGUUGGUGGGGUAGUGGCUUACCAAGGCUUUGACGGGUAGCCGGCCUGAGAGGGUGACCGGCCACAUUGGGACUGAGAUACGGCCCAGACUCCUACGGGAGGCAGCAGUGGGGAAUAUUGCACAAUGGGCGGAAGCCUGAUGCAGCAACGCCGCGUGCAGGAUGACGGCCUUCGGGUUGUAAACCGCUUUCGCCUGUGACGAAGCGUGAGUGACGGUAAUGGGUAAAGAAGCACCGGCUAACUACGUG
RNAcentral lists this ribosomal RNA (468 nucleotides) under uncultured bacterium. Its description in RNAcentral is "partial 16S ribosomal RNA". It matches the Rfam family "Bacterial small subunit ribosomal RNA", at positions 28 to 507 of the family's 1533-position model. The record is from RNAcentral.